RNAcentral lists this ribosomal RNA (465 nucleotides) under uncultured bacterium. RNAcentral's name for it is "partial 16S ribosomal RNA". It matches the Rfam family "Bacterial small subunit ribosomal RNA", at positions 339 to 795 of the family's 1533-position model. The record is from RNAcentral.
CUACGGGCGGCAGCAGUGGGGAAUAUUGGACAAUGGGGGAAACCCUGAUCCAGCAAUGCCGCGUGUGUGAAGAAGGCCUUAGGGUUGUAAAGCACUUUCAGUAGUGAGGAAAAGUUUAAGGCUAAUACCCUUGAACCCUGACGUUAACUACAGAAGAAGCACCGGCUAACUUCGUGCCAGCAGCCGCGUGUAAUACGAAGGGUGCAAGCGUUAAUCGGAUUUACUGGGCGUAAAGCGCGCGUAGGCGGUUUGAUAAGUCGGAUGUGAAAGCCCCGGGCUCAACCUGGGAAUUGCAUUCGAUACUGUCAGGCUAGAGUAUGGUAGAGGGAAGUGGAAUUCCACAUGUAGCGGUGAAAUGCGUAGAUAUGUGGAGGAACACCAGUGGCGAAGGCGACUUCCUGGCCCAAUACUGACGCUGAGGUGCGAAAGCGUGGGGAGCAAACAGGAUUAGAUACCCGAGUAGUC